This 2899-nucleotide ribosomal RNA is filed under the name Klebsiella quasipneumoniae. RNAcentral describes it as "23S ribosomal RNA". It matches the Rfam family "Bacterial large subunit ribosomal RNA". The record is from RNAcentral. Lineage: Bacteria; Pseudomonadati; Pseudomonadota; Gammaproteobacteria; Enterobacterales; Enterobacteriaceae.
UUAAGCGACUAAGCGUACACGGUGGAUGCCCUGGCAGUCAGAGGCGAUGAAGGACGUGCUAAUCUGCGAAAAGCGUCGGUAAGGUGAUAUGAACCGUUAUAGCCGGCGAUGUCCGAAUGGGGAAACCCAGUGCAAUUCGUUGCACUAUCGUUAACUGAAUACAUAGGUUAACGAGGCGAACCGGGGGAACUGAAACAUCUAAGUACCCCGAGGAAAAGAAAUCAACCGAGAUUCCCCCAGUAGCGGCGAGCGAACGGGGAGCAGCCCAGAGUCUGAAUCAGCUUGUGUGUUAGUGGAACGGUCUGGAAAGUCCGACGGUACAGGGUGAUAGUCCCGUACACCAAAAUGCACAGGCUGUGAACUCGAAGAGUAGGGCGGGACACGUGGUAUCCUGUCUGAAUAUGGGGGGACCAUCCUCCAAGGCUAAAUACUCCUGACUGACCGAUAGUGAACCAGUACCGUGAGGGAAAGGCGAAAAGAACCCCGGCGAGGGGAGUGAAAAAGAACCUGAAACCGUGUACGUACAAGCAGUGGGAGCACCUUCGGGUGUGACUGCGUACCUUUUGUAUAAUGGGUCAGCGACUUAUAUUCUGUAGCAAGGUUAACCGUAUAGGGGAGCCGCAGGGAAACCGAGUCUUAACUGGGCGUUAAGUUGCAGGGUAUAGACCCGAAACCCGGUGAUCUAGCCAUGGGCAGGUUGAAGGUUGGGUAACACUAACUGGAGGACCGAACCGACUAAUGUUGAAAAAUUAGCGGAUGACUUGUGGCUGGGGGUGAAAGGCCAAUCAAACCGGGAGAUAGCUGGUUCUCCCCGAAAGCUAUUUAGGUAGCGCCUCGUGAACUCAUCUUCGGGGGUAGAGCACUGUUUCGGCUAGGGGGUCAUCCCGACUUACCAACCCGAUGCAAACUACGAAUACCGAAGAAUGUUAUCACGGGAGACACACGGCGGGUGCUAACGUCCGUCGUGAAGAGGGAAACAACCCAGACCGCCAGCUAAGGUCCCAAAGUCAUGGUUAAGUGGGAAACGAUGUGGGAAGGCACAGACAGCCAGGAUGUUGGCUUAGAAGCAGCCAUCAUUUAAAGAAAGCGUAAUAGCUCACUGGUCGAGUCGGCCUGCGCGGAAGAUGUAACGGGGCUAAACCAUGCACCGAAGCUGCGGCAGCGACACUAUGUGUUGUUGGGUAGGGGAGCGUUCUGUAAGCCUGCGAAGGUGGCCUGUGAGGGUUGCUGGAGGUAUCAGAAGUGCGAAUGCUGACAUAAGUAACGAUAAAGCGGGUGAAAAGCCCGCUCGCCGGAAGACCAAGGGUUCCUGUCCAACGUUAAUCGGGGCAGGGUGAGUCGACCCCUAAGGCGAGGCCGAAAGGCGUAGUCGAUGGGAAACAGGUUAAUAUUCCUGUACUUGGUGUUACUGCGAAGGGGGGACGGAGAAGGCUAUGUUAGCCGGGCGACGGUUGUCCCGGUUUAAGCAUGUAGGCUGGUUAUCCAGGCAAAUCCGGAUAAUCAAGGCUGAGGUGUGAUGACGAGGUACUACGGUGCUGAAGUAACAAAUGCCCUGCUUCCAGGAAAAGCCUCUAAGCAUCAGGUAACAUCAAAUCGUACCCCAAACCGACACAGGUGGUCAGGUAGAGAAUACCAAGGCGCUUGAGAGAACUCGGGUGAAGGAACUAGGCAAAAUGGUGCCGUAACUUCGGGAGAAGGCACGCUGGUGUGUAGGUGAAGUCCCUGCGGAUGGAGCUGAGACCAGUCGAAGAUACCAGCUGGCUGCAACUGUUUAUUAAAAACACAGCACUGUGCAAACACGAAAGUGGACGUAUACGGUGUGACGCCUGCCCGGUGCCGGAAGGUUAAUUGAUGGGGUUAUCCGUAAGGAGAAGCUCUUGAUCGAAGCCCCGGUAAACGGCGGCCGUAACUAUAACGGUCCUAAGGUAGCGAAAUUCCUUGUCGGGUAAGUUCCGACCUGCACGAAUGGCGUAAUGAUGGCCAGGCUGUCUCCACCCGAGACUCAGUGAAAUUGAACUCGCUGUGAAGAUGCAGUGUACCCGCGGCAAGACGGAAAGACCCCGUGAACCUUUACUAUAGCUUGACACUGAACAUUGAGCCUUGAUGUGUAGGAUAGGUGGGAGGCUUUGAAGCGUGGACGCCAGUCUGCGUGGAGCCAACCUUGAAAUACCACCCUUUAAUGUUUGAUGUUCUAACGUUGGCCCCUUAUCGGGGUUGCGGACAGUGUCUGGUGGGUAGUUUGACUGGGGCGGUCUCCUCCCAAAGCGUAACGGAGGAGCACGAAGGUUAGCUAAUCCUGGUCGGACAUCAGGAGGUUAGUGCAAUGGCAUAAGCUAGCUUGACUGCGAGCGUGACGGCGCGAGCAGGUGCGAAAGCAGGUCAUAGUGAUCCGGUGGUUCUGAAUGGAAGGGCCAUCGCUCAACGGAUAAAAGGUACUCCGGGGAUAACAGGCUGAUACCGCCCAAGAGUUCAUAUCGACGGCGGUGUUUGGCACCUCGAUGUCGGCUCAUCACAUCCUGGGGCUGAAGUAGGUCCCAAGGGUAUGGCUGUUCGCCAUUUAAAGUGGUACGCGAGCUGGGUUUAGAACGUCGUGAGACAGUUCGGUCCCUAUCUGCCGUGGGCGCUGGAGAAUUGAGGGGGGCUGCUCCUAGUACGAGAGGACCGGAGUGGACGCAUCACUGGUGUUCGGGUUGUCAUGCCAAUGGCACUGCCCGGUAGCUAAAUGCGGAAGAGAUAAGUGCUGAAAGCAUCUAAGCACGAAACUUGCCCCGAGAUGAGUUCUCCCUGAGACUUUAAGUCUCCUGAAGGAACGUUAAAGACGAUGACGUUGAUAGGCCGGGUGUGUAAGCGCAGCGAUGCGUUGAGCUAACCGGUACUAAUGAACCGUGAGGCUUAACCU